GACGAAGGUGGCAAGCGUUACUCGGAAUUACUAGGCGUAAAGCGCGAGCAGGCGGUUUGGUAAGUCUGUUGUGAAAGCCCCGGGCUCAACCCGGGGAGGCCAAUGGAUACUGCCAGACUUGAAUACGGGAGAGGUCACUGGAAUUCCUGGUGUAGCGGUGAAAUGCGUAGAUAUCAGGAGGAACACCGAAGGCGAAGGCAGGUGACUGGACCGUUAUUGACGCUGAGUCGCGAAAGCCGGGGGAGCAAACAGG
RNAcentral lists this ribosomal RNA (253 nucleotides) under uncultured bacterium. Its description in RNAcentral is "partial 16S ribosomal RNA". It matches the Rfam family "Bacterial small subunit ribosomal RNA", at positions 524 to 776 of the family's 1533-position model. The record is from RNAcentral.